UACGUAGGGUGCAAGCGUUGUCCGGAAUUAUUGGGCGUAAAGAGCUCGUAGGCGGUCUGUCGCGUCGGCUGUGAAAACCCGGAGCUCAACUCCGGGCCUGCAGUCGAUACGGGCAAACUGGAGUGUUGCAGGGGAGACUGGAAUUCCUGGUGUAGCGGUGAAAUGCGCAGAUAUCAGGAGGAACACCGGUGGCGAAGGCGGGUCUCUGGGCAACAACUGACGCUGGGGAGCGAAAGCAUGGGGAGCGAACAGG
This 253-nucleotide ribosomal RNA is filed under the name uncultured bacterium. Its description in RNAcentral is "partial 16S ribosomal RNA". It matches the Rfam family "Bacterial small subunit ribosomal RNA", at positions 524 to 776 of the family's 1533-position model. The record is from RNAcentral.